UACGUAGGGUGCAAGCGUUGUCCGGAAUUAUUGGGCGUAAAGAGCUCGUAGGCGGUUUGUCGCGUCUGCUGUGAAAACCUAAGGCUCAACCUUGGGCUUGCAGUGGGUACGGGCAGACUAGAGUGAUGUAGGGGAGACUGGAAUUCCUGGUGUAGCGGUGAAAUGCGCAGAUAUCAGGAGGAACACCGAUGGCGAAGGCAGGUCUCUGGGCAUUAACUGACGCUGAGGAGCGAAAGCAUGGGGAGCGAACAGG
This 253-nucleotide ribosomal RNA is filed under the name uncultured bacterium. RNAcentral's name for it is "partial 16S ribosomal RNA". It matches the Rfam family "Bacterial small subunit ribosomal RNA", at positions 524 to 776 of the family's 1533-position model. The record is from RNAcentral.